This 253-nucleotide ribosomal RNA is filed under the name uncultured bacterium. RNAcentral describes it as "partial 16S ribosomal RNA". It matches the Rfam family "Bacterial small subunit ribosomal RNA", at positions 524 to 776 of the family's 1533-position model. The record is from RNAcentral.
UACUAAGGGGGCUAGCGUUGCUCGGAAUCACUGGGCGUAAAGCGCACGUAGUCGGCUUGUUAAGUCAGGGGUGAAAUCCUGGAGCUCAACUCCAGAACUGCCUUUGAUACUGGCGAGCUUGAGUUCGGGAGAGGUGAGUGGAACUGCGAGUGUAGAGGUGAAAUUCGUAGAUAUUCGCAAGAACACCAGUGGCGAAGGCGGCUCACUGGCCCGAUACUGACGCUGAGGUGCGAAAGCGUGGGGAGCAAACAGG